ACGAACGCUGGCGGCGUGCUUAAGACCUGCAAGUCGCACGGAAAGGCCCUGCUUUUGUGGGGUGCUCGAGUGGCGAACGGGUGAGUAACACGUGAGUAACCUGCCCUUGACUUUGGGAUAACUUCAGGAAACUGGGGCUAAUACCGGAUAGGAGCUCCUGCUGCAUGGUGGGGGUUGGAAAGUUUCGGCGGUUGGGGAUGGACUCGCGGCUUAUCAGCUUGUUGGUGGGGUAGUGGCUUACCAAGGCUUUGACGGGUAGCCGGCCUGAGAGGGUGACCGGCCACAUUGGGACUGAGAUACGGCCCAGACUCCUACGGGAGGCAGCAGUGGGGAAUAUUGCACAAUGGGCGGAAGCCUGAUGCAGCAACGCCGCGUGCGGGAUGACGGCCUUCGGGUUGUAAACCGCUUUCGCCUGUGACGAAGCGUGAGUGACGGUAAUGGGUAAAGAAGCACCGGCUAACUACGUG
This 467-nucleotide ribosomal RNA is filed under the name uncultured bacterium. Its description in RNAcentral is "partial 16S ribosomal RNA". It matches the Rfam family "Bacterial small subunit ribosomal RNA", at positions 29 to 507 of the family's 1533-position model. The record is from RNAcentral.